GGCCUCCGGCGCCUCACCAUGGCUGAAUUGGAGCAGCAGAGUCCCUCAGUUCCGAAGUAGUCCUGGGAACCUGGCUUCAGCGCCCGCCUACCGUAAGGUGGGGCCUGCCAGGGUCAGCGCCCGGACUCUGGUUGUUGUCUCCAGGCACAAGAGGAAACAGCAUCAGAUGACGUGGGCGGGUUGCACCGCUCCCCUCCCGGAGGCUCCCGGCAGCUGUGCACGGGAGUUCCCGGGGAGGUUGGCCAAGAGAGGUAGAAGGCGGGCCAGGUAGUUCCUCCCGCCUCCCCCGCCCCCAAACACACCGGCACAACUCUAAGCCUUACGUUAGGUGCUCCUCUGCUCACGGUCGAAGUGGAUCUCUGCAAAGACAGAGAAGAAUCCUUGUGUCUGAAUUCUCAUCAGCCAAAUCACCCUUGUGAUUGCCUCAAAACCAAAAUCUGGUCUUGGCUACGAAGUUGCAGAGCUCUUUAAGAUUCGUUCUUUCCAUAUAUGAAAUAACAAGAUACCCUGCUUUUCAGUGCUAGAGGGGGAUGUGAACAGAGAAGUUUGGGACUUCAAAAUCGGCUUACACUUGAAGCUCUUGGAACCAUUUAAAAUUAU
This 600-nucleotide long non-coding RNA is filed under the name Mus musculus (house mouse). RNAcentral describes it as "predicted gene, 50315". Lineage: Eukaryota; Metazoa; Chordata; Mammalia; Rodentia; Muridae. The record is from RNAcentral.